This 240-nucleotide unclassified non-coding RNA is filed under the name soil metagenome. RNAcentral's name for it is "partial contains 5.8S ribosomal RNA, internal transcribed spacer 2, and large subunit ribosomal RNA". The record is from RNAcentral.
AACGCACGAGACCUGCGGACCUGCGGAAGGAUCAUUACAGAGUUCAUGCCCUCUCGGGCAGAUCUCCUACCCACUGUAAUCGUUACCGUGUUGCUUUGGCAGGCCGCUGGGCAACAAGCCUGGCCGCCGGCUCCGGCUGGCGCGCGCCUGCCAGAGGUUCUCUAAACUCUAAGUAUCGUGUCGUCUGAGUACUAUGUAAUAGUUAAAACUUUUAACAAUGGAUCUCUAGAUCGGAAGAGC